Tupaia belangeri chinensis (Chinese tree shrew) is the source of this 317-nucleotide long non-coding RNA. RefSeq lists it as uncharacterized. The transcript has 5 exons. NCBI's taxonomy places the organism in Eukaryota, Metazoa, Chordata, Mammalia, Scandentia, Tupaiidae. The record is from RefSeq and is a predicted model, not a curated record.
AGGAAGAAUCCACCAUCAGUAACUAUGCAGCAGGACCUGAGGCCUUUAAUGGUCAGCUGCUGAACAUCGACAAGCUGCGAUCUGCUUUUAAAAAUGAUGAAUUCCUGAACUGGCAUGCCCUCUUUGAGUCUAUCAAAAAGAAACUUCCUUUCCUCAACUGGGAUGCAUUUCCUAAGCUGAAAGGACUGAGGAGUGCAAUUCCUGAUGCCCAGUGACCAUUCAAGACACAGCACUGCUGACUCCCCUUGGAAGAGGGAUCUGGAUCCCAGCCUGUGAUGACUCUUGUCUAUUUCCGUAACUCCAAUAAAAAGUUUUCC